Molecule: unclassified non-coding RNA, 2396 nt
Filed under: Pectinophora gossypiella (pink bollworm)
Lineage: Eukaryota; Metazoa; Arthropoda; Insecta; Lepidoptera; Gelechiidae
Description: matrix metalloproteinase-14
Source: RNAcentral
CCAAAGUCGCGGGCUGCGGUAGGUCGUGCCACACGGGGGCGCCACGAUCGCAGUCGAACAUUUCCCGCCACGCGACCUCACACACAUUUUCUUUGAAAAUUCGUGUAAUUGCAAAGAAAAAAGUGAAUCUACGCGCUUUCGGUGAUUUCGGCGUGUGCGUUGUGAUUGAUGUUUUACAUAUCUGACUCUAUUUUUUUACACCAAUUUUCUGUACAAUUAGUAGAGUUACGAACGUGAUCGCACUAGUGAAACGAAAAUUUCGGCGUUUCAAGUAGUAAGGAUUGCGUGCGCCGCUUGCGGGACUGAACUUACAGAUAUAACGACACCGUUCAUGUCACAAGCAGGGGAUAAAAUCGAUAGAUCAAUACAACCGAUGAUAUUACUGACCGAAUCGGUUAUCGAAUAUUAUUUACUAGAUAUAAGAGUAAUGAGAAUCCGUCCAAACUAAGAUAUAUUCGAGUAUUUUAUAACAGUAUUUUAAGUAGAUAUCAAUGAGCGGGUUAAGUUCGCGAGAUAGUAUAUCAAGAAUCAUGGCGUUCAAUUUGAGGAGUCUCAGGAUACUGGCUGUGGUGGCGCUGGUGUUCGUCUCUCGGAAUAGUGCUGCUCCGGCCUUCGGAGAAACCGACAAGGCUAUGGUUAACGACGAUGCCUACUUUCAGAUGUACCUGGCGCAAUAUGGGUACCUGAGUCCUUCAGUACGGAACCCUUCCAGCGGUCACAUCAUGGACGAAUCAUCGUGGAAGCGAGCCAUUAUGGAGUUCCAGAGCUUCGCUGGACUUAAUACCACGGGCGAGUUGGACGAGGAGACGACCAAAGUGAUGUCACUGCCGAGGUGUGGUGUCAGAGAUAAGGUGGGCUUCGGGGAGACUCGUGCCAAGAGAUACGCGCUCCAAGGUUCAAGAUGGCGCGUGAAGAACCUGACGUACAAAAUCGCCAAGUACCCAUCAAGACUGAACCGCGCCGAGGUGGACGCUGAGCUCGCUAAGGCCUUCUCCGUAUGGUCCGACUACACGGACCUCACCUUCACGCAGAAAAGGACCGGACAAGUCCACAUUGAAAUUAGGUUUGAAAAGGGAGAGCAUGGAGAUGGUGAUCCGUUCGAUGGGCCCGGUGGUACUCUUGCGCAUGCAUAUUUCCCGGUAUACGGAGGUGAUGCUCACUUCGACGAUGCAGAGAUGUGGUCUAUCAAUUCGAGGAGGGGAACCAAUCUUUUCCAGGUAGCGGCGCAUGAGUUCGGGCACUCGCUAGGUCUGUCCCACAGCGACGUGAGGUCUGCACUGAUGGCUCCCUUCUACCGCGGCUACGACCCUGCCUUCCAACUUGACCAGGAUGAUGUCCAGGGCAUUCAGGCGCUAUACGGGCGGAAGACCCAAACGGACAUCGGUGGUGGAGGCGCCAGCGUACCAUCUGUGCCGCGCGCCACCACGCAGCAACCCUCGGCUGAAGACCCCGCGCUCUGUGCCGACCCCAACAUUGAUACCAUUUUCAAUUCCGCUGACGGUGCCACAUUUAUCUUCAAAGGCGAGCACUAUUGGAGGCUGACAGAGGACGGCGUUGCGGCCGGAUACCCCCGCCUCAUCUCCCGCGCCUGGCCUGGCCUCCCCGGCAACAUCGAUGCAGCUUUCACCUACAAGAACGGCAAGACCUACUUCUUCAAGGGGUCCAAGUACUGGAGGUACAAUGGACAGAAGAUGGACGGCGAGUAUCCUAAGGAAAUCAGUGAAGGCUUCACGGGCAUCCCAGACAACUUAGACGCCGCUUUGGUCUGGUCUGGCAACGGCAAGAUCUACUUCUACAAAGGCUCUAAGUUCUGGAGGUUCGACCCGGCGCAAAGGCCACCGGUCAAGGGCACAUACCCUAAACCUCUGUCGAACUGGGAAGGCAUUCCUGAUAACAUUGAUGCAGCUCUCCAAUAUACUAAUGGAUAUACAUACUUCUUUAAGGGAGGCUCCUACUGGCGGUUUAAUGAUAGAACUUUCAGUGUGGACACAGACAACCCAGCGUUCCCGCGUUCGACGGCGUACUGGUGGUUGGGCUGCACCAGUGCUCCGAAAGGCACCGUCGGAGGUGUAAAAUCAUCCGCUCCCAGAUCAUUCUUCUGGUUCAGGAAAUAGCCUCGGUGGAGAGUUCCUGAACAUUGUACAUAAAGAAAUUGCAUAAAGAACAAAGACUCAAUUAGUAACAUAGGAGAAUAUAUGCGAAUACCAGUGAGAUUAUAGACAUAAGCGGUGAUUUUAGUACCGGCGAGCUUAUCACGCGCUGCCUUGGUCAACGUCCAGUCGGGGGGGGCUAGACUGUAGAGGGAAGUGCGGCGAAGAGCCGCAUCGGUAUGUUAGGAGGACCGCGUCCUCCGCCGCGACACCGCUCACGCGCCUCUAUGCCGCGGAGACGUCUGG